UACGUAGGGUGCGAGCGUUAAUCGGAAUUACUGGGCGUAAAGCGUGCGCAGGCGGUUCGUGAUGUCUGGUGUGAAAGCCCCGGGCUUAACCUGGGAAUUGCAUUGGAAACUAGCGGGCUGGAGUGUGGCAGAGGGGGGUGGAAUUCCACGUGUAGCAGUGAAAUGCGUAGAGAUGUGGAGGAACACCGAUGGCGAAGGCAGCCCCCUGGGCUAACACUGACGCUCAUGCACGAAAGCGUGGGGAACAAACAGG
RNAcentral lists this ribosomal RNA (253 nucleotides) under uncultured bacterium. Its description in RNAcentral is "partial 16S ribosomal RNA". It matches the Rfam family "Bacterial small subunit ribosomal RNA", at positions 524 to 776 of the family's 1533-position model. The record is from RNAcentral.